Molecule: non-coding RNA, 2924 nt
Organism: Aegilops tauschii subsp. strangulata
Lineage: Eukaryota; Viridiplantae; Streptophyta; Magnoliopsida; Poales; Poaceae
Source: RefSeq, a predicted model, not a curated record
UUACCUUAUCCAAUCGUCCACCUUCCGCAGCGAGGCAUCGCCUCCCAGAUCUCGCUGCUUCUACACCCACACCGGCGCCGGCGCGCCGCAUCUCCCAAAUCCGUCCCUGGAUCGACCCGCCUCCUCCAGUCUUCUCUAUCCACCAUCCGAACCAAGAGCUGUUUCCGUCAUCUCCACUUCCCCAAGCCGCCCCUGUCGCUGGCGCUUCCACCGCGAUGUUCACGAUGACGGCCGGCUGAGGGAUCCAUCGGAGGCGACCUCCGCAAACCGCCUGGCGAUUUCUCCUCCGUCCAGAGCACGCAGUCGACGCUUGCGCCGGCAAGUUUGUUCACCAUGGCGACCGCGCUGGCGGGCUGCGCCUGGCCUUCGGUGCCCUCUAAGCUCUACGCGCCUUUCACCUUGCGUUGCCUUUGGUGUGCCCCUGCCAUGUCAGGUAAGCCUGCAGGUCCGGCGCCCACAACCCCUCUGUUCUUCUGCUUUCCUCAACCUGUGUCCGUAUGCUGCUCCCUCUUGUACCUUUUCGUUCCUCUGCUCUACUUCUUACUGUUAGGAGUAAUCUUGAGUCAUGUACGAGUUGCUAGAGAAGUGCUUGCUAUUUCAGCUAGGUUAAUUAACGCAAAAGUGAGUUACUAGAACUUUCUCACCCUAGUAUUGUUGGCCACUGUAAUUCCUGCUGCACUGUCUUCAGUUAGCUAAGUGUUUAUUAUUCAGUUUCGUCAGAAUAAGCAUGCACCGGGAGUCUGUUCUGGUGCGUGCACGUAGUCUUUGAUUUUCUGCAUGCAGUAGCUAGUGCCGCAGUGUUCGCUCUUGUGGGAUGGCACGAGAUCAUGCCGGACAUGGCGGCGUUGAGGCAGCGUGCAAGUGGCUGUGGGAUGGCGCAGCCGUUAGCUCAAACGUGGCCGGUAGACUAGGAUAAUUCUGUUACUGUAACAGCAUAUAAAUAAAAGGAGAAGAAAACGCUGCAGUAAGCUGCACGCAGCACAAAUUACUCUGUCUUUUGUUCUUCAGUUACGAAGGAUGAGUGACAGAGAGCACCGGCUGCAACUACAAGUAUGUCUUGAGGUGUCUACGCGUGGAAGAGUACUAGAUGUAUCUGAGUAGGUUUAGGCUAAUUGUGUUCAGUGUGGCCGGUGAUUAAGUGUCCUGGUACUGGUAGUACUAGGACGGCCAUGUACGAGUUGGUUUCAAGAUCAAGAACAAGCAGGUCCUUGGUCGGUUGUCUCAUGCAUAUUUACACAUAUGCUGGUGCGUGACAUUGUACCACAGGAAGCUGACAAGAAAAAGUGAAAAAAAGAGGGCACGAUACAAGCCCUUGGCUACAAGUUUUUUUUGUGUGUGAGUGUUCGUCGUCUCUGAUGUGAUUGAUCCAUGGGCAGAAUUCCAACACUUACAGAUAGUAACUGAAUGGUCCAGAUAAAGUUUAUUGUCGAGAGUUUUGCUGCAUGAUAGGUGUACUAAAUAUGUUCUGUUUUAGUCUCUCUUCCCCUCUUGUUGAAAGCAAAUCUCCACUCCAAAUAUAGCUUAAUCAAUCAAAUUCAUAUGUGUUGUUUAGAAUUUCUGCAGUGAAACAAGCCCUUUUGAUUCUAGCGUUGUUGCCUUAGAACAAAUAAUCAUUCUAGGGUUUGUUAUGAUAUUUUGUUUACAGUUCUGCAUAUAUAGGCAGCAAAUAGAAGUGACAUAACAUGGGCUUUUGUGGGUCUGCCGUUCUUGCUUGUUCAGAAAUGUGGCCAGAUGACAUUGUGACAAUUGAUUUUGAGUCUGCUAGCAUACAUAUUUUCUGAAAUGCAGUUCUUUAGUUAUACUUAAUGCCACAUUUUGUGCCCUGGUUGUGUUUGUGAGAUACUGAGAUGUCUUUCUGCUUUCAUUGCAUAUGUAAGAUGGUCGGGAGCUUGUAAAACUGCAUGUCAUAUCUGAUGGUUGGAUAUAUGAUUUUGUUGUUCGCCCCCUUCCCUGAAAGUACAUGGUGUAAUUAAGUUAUCUACGUUAAUAUGACAAGUUUCUGGAAUAAGCGUGAUGAAUAGAUGUAUCUUGCUAUUAUGAAAGUGAUUAUGUUUUUUAAUGAAGUGAUGCAGCUGCAGCGGCGUGUAACAUGUAUUCAUUGCAAUAUUGUCUUAUUUGUGGAGAGAUUGGUCAGUAUUUUGUGGUUGAUGGCUGUAGCUGGCUUUUCCUUUUAAAAUUUACAUGUGGUGGGACCAGAACACAUGUGCCAUCAAAUUCACUUUUUCUCCUAACAUACUUAUACUUUGCACUCUGAUCUUUGUAGAAAAAACCUUGCUGGUUCAUGGUGAAUGGUGUGAAAUGGAAUAGAAAGAAAAUUCUUGUGCUUGCACAGAGUGGAAGCGAAUGUGAUCGGGGGGUCACCGUCAAGAGAGUGCUUCCUUGGCUCGUUACCAAAGGAAAAUGGCUCACAAGUAGCUGGAUUUUUUUAUGUGAAGAUGCAUCAGUGCAUUUUAGGACUCGACGAGUUGUGUGGGCUCACGGAAAAUUGGCUUCCUCGCGUCGAUGUGCUGCUUGCUUUCUUCUUUGUAUUUGUUCAAGGUGAAGGUUGGGUGACUGAUAUGAUUGGGUCACUAGUAUACUACUCUUGCAGUCACAAGUUCGUAGAUGUGUGUUCUGUGAGCUAAAAGGAUCUAUUUCUAGCAUCUAAAGAAGUUAUGGACAUUUUAGUAUCUAUCUGAUGAAGUAGCACUCUAGGAUGGAUCAGUUUCUUACUGAGACAUGAUGGUAUAUAUCUAGUGAUGUAAUACUGGACAUAUGAACCUACAAAUGUAUGCCUAUGUAUAUAUCUAGACACGAUGGAUUGUUGUCCUUUUGGAUGUGAUGUAGUACUGGACUUGUGAACCUACAAAGUGUAUACCAAUGUAUGUAUGCAGACAUGAUGUAUUGUUGAGAUAUAUAUUAUGUCUCAGUUGAUGUGACUUUAA